UUCGCCACCAUGCCUGGCUAAUUUUUGUAUUUUUAGUAGAACCGGGGUUUCACCAUAUUGGCCAGGCCGGUCUCGAACUCCUGACCUUGUGAUCCACCCGCCUCGGCCUCCCAAAGUGCUGGGAUUACAGGCGUGGGCCACUGCGCCUGGCCAGUGAGAUGCAUCUUUUCAGGUAGUCAGUGUGGAAUCUCAAAUUUGGGAAACAGAUCUCUACAGCUCUCAACCAUUUCAUUCUUAUCCUGGAGGCAGUCAAAAAGAGAUUAUUCCUUUUUAGAAAGAAUUACAUUCAGUCAACAAAUUGUAACAUAUGGAUCAGGAGAAGGAAAAGAUGGUAAAAUCAGCCAAUUUUUAGUAGAUUUGAUGAUAAAAGACACAACGUUGUCAGAGUGCAAAUGGUUCUGAAAUUUGAAAAGGUGACAGAGAUUAGUUUCAAGGGACACAUGGUGUGUCUGGAGUCAGUUUUUAUGUUGAUGGUGUGAGCAGUGACAAGGUAUUAACAAUACCUUCCAAAGUGAGUCAAAAGGUCGGUGAAGUCAUUCUAUUGAGAACGGUCGGGGGCCUCCCACACUGUGAGACAAAAAGAUCACCUUUCACCAAGAACCACAAGUCUGGCUGCAGUGCUGCCCUCAGCAUUAGACAUGGAUUCAGAUUCAAUCCACAGCCUGGUUAUAGUCAGUCUCUUCAGAGAACAGGCUCUUAUUAAAAACUUCUGUUUUUUUUUUUUUUGACGGAGUUUCACUCCUGUCGCCCAAGCUGGAGUGCAGUGGUGCAUUCUCGGCACAGUGCAACCUCUGUCUCCUGGGUUCAAGCGAUUCUCCUGCUUCAGCCUCCCGAGUAGCUGGGAUUACAGGCGCCUACCACCAUGCUUGGCUAAUUUUUGUAUUUUUAGAAGAGACAGGGUUUCACCAUGUUGGCCAACUCAAACUCCUGACCUCAGGUGAUCCACCAGCCUCAGCCUCCCAAAGUGCUGGGAUUACAGGCGUGAGCCACUGCGCCCGGCCAAAGACUUGUAAUUGAGUGACUGGACACAGCAGUAAAUCAGCUGCUGAGGUUAUUUCCAGUUUGCAGCCUGAAAGGUUUCCUUUUUUCAGACAGUCUAUAGUUUUUAAUGCAAAAGACCAAACAGCUAUAAUGUGAGCAAUGACCCUGAGUUCUGACCAUUGAGUGGUGUGACCACCCCACUCAGGUUCCGCAUGGCUGACACUGAAGUUCAGAAGCCACCAUAGACAGUAGCUCAGUGAACACCAUGUAUUGGUAAAGCAGGGACAGAAAUUUAGGGAAUACUUAGUGAAGUGGGGGCCCCAUAGAGCCAGAAGCUUUGCUUCAUAUAGUGCAGCAGGGCAUAAAAUUUCCACCAAAGAUAGAUUCCGAUUUUCCCUUUAGAACUAUUUCUGUGCCAGUCCAAUUUCCUUCUAGAAUACAUUAUUUAUAUUUAACAAGUAGUCUUUUGAGGUCUUUCAUAAGAGUUCAAAUUGACCCACCUCAAAAUUGGAAUACAAAGCUAGGCAGCCCCCAGCCCUCCUUGAGUUUGGAUUCAGUUUGACUGGAGUUCUGUAGCAAGCUUAUAACUGACUUUCACAUUAGUGUAACCUGCAGUGGUGUCAGGGUGGCUAUGAGUCAGACACCCCAAAGAAUAUCUUUAGGUGCAGGCUCUUUUUGUCAAAGGCCUCAAAUGGCAAAGUGAUCAAGUUUUUCUUGACUGCUGGAAGAAUUAAGCAAUGAAAAUAUGUCCACUUAGCUUCACUAAACCUUAUUUGGAAAGCAGAACUCUGGGUUUUUUUCAGGUCUUCUUGUUAUUGAGAAAACAGUGCUUACUAUCCAAUGUGCUAAGAGCCAAUACAUUGAGUUGUCACUGGAUUUUUGUUUUUGAGACAAGCUUUAUGUUGAAAGUUCACUCCCAAAGAGACAGGAGUCCCAAGCCCGAAUCUGUCUCCCUCUGCUGGCAUCAAGGCAGAAUUUCUACUAGAACAGGUACCGGGGGGUAGCUUCUGAGGUUAGGAGGUGACUAGCGGAUGAUAAUGGGAGGUCUGGAAUGUCCAUGGGCAUGCCCAGUUAUCUCUUCAUGCUUCCUCAUGGGUCAUAUGUGCAAAUUUGGGGGGAGUUAGUAGGAAACAUAGUGGAAAUUCAGGCUAUGAUGUCAGCAAGCUCAUUCUGUGCAGAGUCCCAUUGGUUCUAUUGGUUUAAACCAAUUUCAGCUAAUUACUUUUAUCUCGUAAGUGGAGGGAAUUUCAGUGUUUUAGCAAGUUUUUUUUUUUUUUAAUUUGCCAUCCUGUAAACUCAAGGAUUUCUGUUAGUCAUUGGCUUAACUUUUUUUUUUUUUUUUGAGUCGGGGUCUUGCUCUGUUGCCCAGGCUGGAGUCCAGUGGCACGAUCUCAGCCCACUGCAACCUCCGCUUCC
Molecule: long non-coding RNA, 2397 nt
Filed under: Homo sapiens (human)
Lineage: Eukaryota; Metazoa; Chordata; Mammalia; Primates; Hominidae
Description: HSALNT0025429
Source: RNAcentral